CCUCCAUUUUCAAUACUUAAUAACAUACACCUAAAAAGUUUUGAUUUUUUAGCCUCUAAAAGUGUCAUCCGAACCCAAAUAGUAAAUUUUGGGUGUGAAAUCCGGCCACCCAUUUUUGUUGAGAAAUUGUUCAAUCUCAACCUCGUUUAAGGUAUAAAUAUUGCUUCUAUUCUUAUUGUAUUAUGUAUAUUGUUUUAUUUUUUGUUUUUGUAAAUUAUUAUUUGAGUUUUUUUAUUUUAUUAGUAAUAUUAUUGUGUUUUAUGUGUAUAGUGUCGGGAUUUUUUACGGUGGUCGUCGGAUUGCGGUUAUUAGGGGUUCGGCAUAAUUUUGUGUGUAGCGUAUUUGGGCUUGCAAUUAUAGACAUGGCGAACUCAGAAUCAGGAUCUGAUUCGGGAGCAGAAAAUGAGUGUCCAACCACAAUACCUACACGAGGGCCGACGCAAAUGAAUGAAAUAUCCAAACUAAUGGAUCAGGGCAAAAGAGUGGCCCUCGAAGUUAAUGAUAAAGGUCAAUACUGUGGAAAAAGCUACGCGAAGCUCGUAUCCACUCUGGGAGUCAGAUGUCGGCAGACAAUAGGGUUGGCUUAUAAAAACUGGAAAGAAGUCAACCAGAC
This is a long non-coding RNA of Cannabis sativa, 613 nucleotides long. RefSeq lists it as uncharacterized. The record is from RefSeq and is a predicted model, not a curated record. Lineage: Eukaryota; Viridiplantae; Streptophyta; Magnoliopsida; Rosales; Cannabaceae. The transcript has 3 exons.